AGCAGCCGCGGUAAUUCCAGCUCCAAUAGCGUAUAUUAAAGUUGUUGCAGUUAAAAAGCUCGUAGUUGAAUUUCGGGGUUAGUAGGUUGGUCAUGCCUCUGGUAUGUACUGGUCUCACUGAUUCCUCCUUCCUGAUGAGCCGUAAUGCCAUUAAUUUGGUGUCGCGAGGAAUCUGGACUGUUACUUUGAAAAAUUAGAGUGUUUAAAGCAGGCUAACGCUUGAAUACAUUAGCAUGGAAUAAUGAAAUAGGACGUUCGAUCCUAUUUUGUUGGUUUCUAGGAUUGACGUAAUGAUUAAUAGGGAUAGUUGGGGGCAUUAGUAUUCAAUUGUCAGAGGUGAAAUUCUUGGAUUUAUUGAAGACUAACUACUGCGAAAGCAUUUGCCAAGGAUGUUUUCAUUAAUCAAGAACGAAAGUUAGGGGAUCGAAGACGAUCAGAUACCGUCGUAGU
Molecule: ribosomal RNA, 450 nt
Filed under: uncultured Glomus
Lineage: Eukaryota; Fungi; Glomeromycota; Glomeromycetes; Glomerales; Glomeraceae
Description: SSU rRNA
Rfam family: Eukaryotic small subunit ribosomal RNA
Source: RNAcentral